UGGGGAAUAUUGGACAAUGGGCGAAAGCCUGAUCCAGCCAUGCCGCGUGUGUGAAGAAGGUCUUCGGAUUGUAAAGCACUUUAAGUUGGGAGGAAGGGCAUUAACCUAAUACGUUAGUGUUUUGACGUUACCGACAGAAUAAGCACCGGCUAACUCUGUGCAAGCAGCCGCGGUAAUACAGAGGGUGCAAGCGUUAAUCGGAAUUACUGGGCGUAAAGCGCGCGUAGGUGGUUUGUUAAGUUGGAUGUGAAAGCCCCGGGCUCAACCUGGGAACUGCAUCCAAAACUGGCAAGCUAGAGUACGGUAGAGGGUGGUGGAAUUUCCUGUGUAGCGGUGAAAUGCGUAGAUAUAGGAAGGAACACCAGUGGCGAAGGCGACCACCUGGACUGAUACUGACACUGAGGUGCGAAAGCGUGGGGAGCAAACA
Molecule: ribosomal RNA, 427 nt
Filed under: uncultured bacterium
Lineage: Bacteria
Description: partial 16S ribosomal RNA
Rfam family: Bacterial small subunit ribosomal RNA
Source: RNAcentral